This 429-nucleotide ribosomal RNA is filed under the name uncultured bacterium. RNAcentral's name for it is "bacterial SSU rRNA". It matches the Rfam family "Bacterial small subunit ribosomal RNA", at positions 355 to 776 of the family's 1533-position model. The record is from RNAcentral.
UGGGGAAUUUUGGACAAUGGGGGCAACCCUGAUCCAGCCAUGCCGCGUGUGUGAAGAAGGCCUUCGGGUUGUAAAGCACUUUCGGCCGGAACGAAAUCGCGCGGGUGAAUAUCCCGCGUGGAUGACGGUACCGGAAGAAGAAGCACCGGCUAACUACGUGCCAGCAGCCGCGGUAAUACGUAGGGUGCGAGCGUUAAUCGGAAUUACUGGGCGUAAAGUGUGCGCAGGCGGCCGAGCAAGUCGAGUGUGAAAUCCCCGAGCUUAACUUGGGAAUUGCGCUCGAAACUACUUGGCUGGAGUGUGGCAGAGGGGGGUGGAAUUCCACGUGUAGCGGUGAAAUGCGUAGAGAUGUGGAGGAACACCAAUGGCGAAGGCAGCCCCCUGGGCCAACACUGACGCUCAUGCACGAAAGCGUGGGGAGCAAACAGG